Molecule: ribosomal RNA, 722 nt
Filed under: uncultured bacterium
Lineage: Bacteria
Description: bacterial SSU rRNA
Rfam family: Archaeal small subunit ribosomal RNA
Source: RNAcentral
GUGCCAGCAGCCGCGGUAAUACCGGUGGCUCGAGUGGUGGCCGCUAUUAUUGGGUCUAAAGGGUCCCGUAGCCCGGCCUGAUAAGUUACCUGGGAAAUCCGGUGGCCUAACCAUCGGCGGCCAGGUAAUACUAUCAGGCUCGGGACUAGGAGAGACCAGAGGUACUCAUGAGGUAGGAGUGAAAUCCUGUAGUCUUAUGAGGACCACCAGUGGUGAAGACGUCUGGUUAGAAUAGGUCCGACGGUGAGGGACGAAGGCUGGGGGCGCAAACCGGAUUAGAUACCCGGGUAGUCCCAGCAGUAAACGAUGCCAGCUAUGUGUUGCUGGAACCAUGGGUUCCAGCAGUGCCGAAGGGAAGCCGUGAAGCUGGCCACCUGGGAAGUACGGUCGCAAGGCUGAAACUUAAAGGAAUUGGCGGGGGAGUACCACAACCGGUGGAGCCUGCGGUUUAAUUGGAUACAACGCCGGGAAUCUUACCGGAGGGGACAGCAGUAUGAAGGCCAGGCUAAAGACCUUGCCAGAUCAGCUGAGAGGAGGUGCAUGGCCGUCGCCAGUUCGUACCGUGAGGCAUCCUGUUUAGUCAGGCAACGAUCGAGACCCGCAGUCUUAUUUGCCAGCAUGCCCUUUGGGGGUGUAUGGGUACAAUAAGACGACCGACAGCGCUAAGCUGGAGGACAGGAGCGGGCUACGGGUAGGUUCACGCAUGCCCCGAAUCCUCCGGG